RNAcentral lists this ribosomal RNA (428 nucleotides) under Xerocrassa siderensis. RNAcentral's name for it is "partial 16S ribosomal RNA". It matches the Rfam family "Archaeal large subunit ribosomal RNA", at positions 1924 to 2664 of the family's 2987-position model. The record is from RNAcentral. Lineage: Eukaryota; Metazoa; Mollusca; Gastropoda; Stylommatophora; Geomitridae.
AGCCAGGUGUCUUAUACUUGGUUACUUCUGCUCAAUGGUUCACUAAAUAGCCGCAGUACCCUGACUGUGCAAAGGUAGCAUAAUCAUUUGGCUUAUAAUUGAAGUCUGGCAUGAAAGAAAUUAUGGGUAGUAACUGUCUUCUAUAGACCACUAGAAUUUACUUAGUAGGUGAAAAUUCCUACGGACUUAUAAUAGACGAGAAGACCCUAGAAAUUUUAUGUAAAAGUAUUUUACUUAAUCUUACUAUUUUGUUGGGGCGACAGAAUAACAGUUGAACUUAUUUUAAUUAAUUUGGACUAAUUUUUGGGGAAAACUAAAUUACUCUAGGGAUAACAGCAUAAUUUAUUAAAGUUUGUGACCUCGAUGUUGGACUAGGGUUUUUAAUAAUCAGAAGUUAUUAAAUUAGGCUCUGUUCGAGCUGGGUUCCU